Molecule: RNA transcript, 1315 nt
Organism: Andrographis paniculata
Lineage: Eukaryota; Viridiplantae; Streptophyta; Magnoliopsida; Lamiales; Acanthaceae
Exons: 8
Source: RefSeq, a predicted model, not a curated record
UCGUCGUUUGAUUCGUUUCGUUUCUUUCGCUUCCAAUUGUUCAAGAAUUCUUGUGGAUCCAUGGCUUCGGUGCCUUCCACCGCCUCUGCUUCUGCGGCAUCCUCCUCCUCCUCCACCUCCCAGCACGCAUACCCUGCUACCGGAACCACCCCGUAUUUUCCGACGCCGUUUCACCUUCAACAAAUACCCGCCCCAUCCACGGCCCCUUACAUCGGGGCAGCCCCUCCUCCUGCUGUUCCUUCCGUCGCACGUCCUGUUUACCCUGCUCCUGUCGCCGUCUACUCUUUGCCUCAAUAUCAACAGGCCCAACAGUUAUUUCAAAGGGAUGCCCAGACAAUAACACCUGAAGCUCUUGAAAGUGUAAAAGCUGCUCUUGCCAGUAGUGAUAUAGAGCACAAAGCAGAGACUAAGAAGAAAGCAGUUCCGCGGAAAGCCGCCGGGCAAACAUGGGAAGAUCCCACUCUUGCAGAAUGGCCUGAGAAUGAUUAUCGUCUAUUUUGUGGUGAUCUUGGAAAUGAGGUGAACGAUGAUGUCUUGUCCAAAGCCUUCUCAAGAUUUCCUUCCUUCAAUAUGGCCAGGGUUGUAAGAGAUAAGCGUACAGGCAAAACCAAGGGCUAUGGUUUUGUUAGUUUUUCUAACCCAACUGACCUUGUCGGAGCACUGAAAGAAAUGAAUGGGAAGUAUGUAGGAAACCGUCCAAUUAAGCUUCGCAAAAGCAACUGGACUGAGAGAACCGAUCAUGAGGCCCUGGGAAGACAUAAGAACCAGUCUCAGAAGAAGACAAAGCUGCCAAAGAGAAGUGUGUUGCACAAAUGAGUGGUGACAUUAGAUCGGCCCUCCCUCCCUCCCUGGCAUUUAUAUAGAUAGAUAGUGUUGUGCCAAUCCUCAAUGGAAUCAAGAGCCCUUAUUGGGUGCAAUGGCAUGGCAUGGCACACAAUAGGAGAUGAUGGAAGAAGGCAUUUUUCACAAAUGCUCACCCAAGAUGUUCCCUUCAAGUCUGCUACUAGUAACACACGCCUUGGGUAGGCCUGGUUUGGUCUCCCGCCUGCCCACAGCCGCACAACAAUAUCAAUCAAAUCCAAGGAAAGGAAAUGCAAUGCACCCAAAGAAGAAGAAGCUGCUGCUGGUGGUGGUUUGAACCUAAAAUCAGUGGUUCCAACUUUGAUUGAUUUCCGGAAUGUAGAGUGGAACUGAGACCAAACCAAACCUUUUCAUAAAAUCCAAUUGUUCUGGAUUGAAAAUUGCUUGCACAUGUCUGUCCCUAGUUGUCUAUUACUCUACAGCAAUCAGCCAAGCAGAAUAACACAAAACAGCU